Molecule: ribosomal RNA, 253 nt
Filed under: uncultured bacterium
Lineage: Bacteria
Description: partial 16S ribosomal RNA
Rfam family: Bacterial small subunit ribosomal RNA
Source: RNAcentral
GACGAACCGAGCGAACGUUGUUCGGAAUCACUGGGCUUAAAGGGCGCGUAGGCGGCCGAUCAAGUCGGGGGUGAAAGCCUGUGGCUCAACCACAGAAUUGCCUUCGAUACUGUUUGGCUUGAGACCGGAAGAGGUUAGUGGAACUGCGAGUGUAGAGGUGAAAUUCGUAGAUAUUCGCAAGAACACCAGUGGCGAAGGCGGCUGACUGGUCCGGUUCUGACGCUGAGGCGCGAAAGCGUGGGGAGCAAACAGG